Acanthochromis polyacanthus (spiny chromis) is the source of this 652-nucleotide long non-coding RNA. RefSeq lists it as uncharacterized. The transcript has 3 exons. The record is from RefSeq and is a predicted model, not a curated record. Lineage: Eukaryota; Metazoa; Chordata; Actinopteri; Pomacentridae.
UGUUAUAUUAGAGGGUAAAUGUAGAAUUAGAGGGUAAAUGUAGCAUUAGAGGGUAAAUGUAGCGUUAGAGGGUAAAUGUACCGUUAGAGGGUAAAUGUUCCGUUAGAGGGUAAAUGUAGCGUUAGAGGGUAAAUGUAGUGUUAGAGGGUAAAUGCAGCAUUAGAGGGUAAAUGUUAUGUUAGAGGACAAAUGUAGAAUUAGAGGGUAAAUGUAGCAUUAGAGGGUAAAUGUAGUAUUAGAGGGUAAAUGUAGCGUUAGAGGGUAAAUGCAGCAUUAGAGGGUAAAUGUUAUGUUCGAGGGUAAAUGUAGAAUUAGAGGGUAAAUGUAGCGUUAGAGGGUAAAUGUAGUAUUAGAGGGUAAAUGUACCAUUAGAGGGUAAAUGUAGCGUUAGAGGGUAAAUGUAGUAUUAGAGGGUAAAUGUAGCAUUAGAGGGUAAAUGUAGCGUUAGAGGGUAAAUGUAGAAUUAGAGGGUAAAUGUAGCAUUAGAGGGUAAAUGUAGCAUUAGAAGGUAAAUGUAGCAUUAGAGGGUAAAUGUAGUGUUAGAGGGUAAAUGUAGUGUUAGAGGGUAAAUGUAGCAUUAGAGGGUAAAUGUAGUGUUAGAGGGUAAAUGUAGCAUUAGAGGGUAAAUGUAGCAUUAGAGGGUAAAUGUAGU